Molecule: ribosomal RNA, 614 nt
Filed under: Gallacea sp. OTA12062010
Lineage: Eukaryota; Fungi; Basidiomycota; Agaricomycetes; Hysterangiales; Gallaceaceae
Description: eukaryotic LSU rRNA
Rfam family: 5.8S ribosomal RNA (bases 219-374)
Source: RNAcentral
ACAAGGUUUCCGUAGGUGAACCUGCGGAAGGAUCAUUACAGAACCUUCGAGGGGUUUAAUAAGGAUGCUGGCCGCGCCCGCGGCAUGUGCUCGCCCCUCUUUUCAUUUACACCUGUGCACCUAGUGGGAUGCCCCUCGGGGCGUCUCUCUCUUCUUACAUCAUCGAUGCCUGUUAUAAACGCAUGUCUCAGUUGAGCUCUACGGAGCGUCAUUAAUACAACUUUCAACAACGGAUCUCUUGGCUUUCGCAUCGAUGAAGAACGCCGCGAAAGCGCGAAACGUAAUGUGAAUUGCAGAAUUCAGUGAAUCAUCGAAUCUUUGAACGCAUCUUGCGCCCCUCGGUCAUUCCGAGGAGCAUGCCUGUUUGAGUGUCGUUAAACACCCUCGGCCGUCCUUUCUGUAUGUAAGGUGGCUGGACUUGGACGCUGCUGUUCCGUAAGGGACGGCUCGUCUCGAAAUGCAUUAGCCGCUCUGCCUCGGUCCUAUCGACGACGAUGUGAUAAUCGUAGAUGUUCGUCGUCGUCGUGGGACCGCCGUAAGGGUGGGUGGCUUAGAAUCGUCCCUCUCGGGGGGACUCUACUGAUGUCUGACCUCAAAUCAGGUAGGAUUACCCG